CUGUUUUUGUCAAUUGUUUUAUGUUGUAGCAUACAUGAAUGAUUUGGUACGGUUAGAGAGGGAAAGGAACAUAAGGCCGGAUCCAGAAAUUGAUGCAUUUAUGAAGAGUUUGCAAUUGGGGUGUGUAUACGCGUGUUCUGUAUGUUGUCCUGAAACAUGUGAUCAUAUUUACCUUUUUGAUAAUGACUAUGAUGAUACAAAACAUAUCUACAGGAAAUCCAUGCGUUGCAGAUUCCCAUAUGAUCAGAGAGGUCGACUUAUCUUGGAGGUAAUGCUAAUCAAAAUAUGCUACCAACCACCAGUCUCAUCUCUCUAAUUCCAGCAUGCUUUUAUAGUGUUGCCCUGGAUCACAUAUGAUGGUGGUAUGCUCUCCAUUGUUGGACGUCUUUAACUUCUUUUUCAUUUUGCUUGAUAGCCAUUUAUACCCUGGAAAGCAAUAAAUAUGCCGUGUUGCAAACAAGCACAUAAAAAAGCGUAACUUUGAUUUGGUGGUUUUUAUAAGCUCAGGAUCUUUUCUAUAUCGAAGAUUGAUUUUUCUAUCUUAACCAUUUGCUAGAUAGGAAAAUUGCCUGAGAUAGUUCCCGCUUAAAUCAUGCUCUCUCUCUCUCUCUCUCUCUCUCUCUCUCUCUCUCUCUCUCAAAUAGAGACAUGAUUCAAAAUUAACAUCACAAAUAUUGUUGAUGCCACAUCUUUUGUUGAGAAGUCAUGAAACAAAAGACAUGUUGCUAAGAUCCUGAAAGAUUGAACAAUAUUUGAACAGUCAGUGCUUGGAUAAAUAGUAGAAGACACGUGCAUGAGGUAGCACAGAGGAAAAUCCUUCCCGCUUCUUCCAUGCUCUGGCCUCUGCCGCUUCCAGCUCCGAACUCGGAUCUGAAGGCCUCAUGGGUAUUUUCUCUGAUAUUAGAGGCUAUUACUUGGUGCUCUACGCUGAAUGACCUAUUUUUGAGAAAGGCAUGGAUUACUUUCAGGCAUUUUCCAUACACAAUUGGAUCAUGAUAAUAUUUUGAGGCAAUUCAAUUUAUUCCACAUGUGAAUAGUUUUGAAUUCAAAGUUUAGUUUUUCGAUUUCAAUCUGGCAUAUGAUAUUUGAAUAGCA
Non-coding RNA from Malus domestica (apple), 1095 nucleotides. The record is from RefSeq and is a predicted model, not a curated record. Lineage: Eukaryota; Viridiplantae; Streptophyta; Magnoliopsida; Rosales; Rosaceae.